GGUCCCAUCGUCUAGAGGCCUAGGACACCGCCCUUUCAAGGCGGCGGCACGGGUUCGAAUCCCGUUGGGACCGCCA
This 76-nucleotide transfer RNA is filed under the name Acetomicrobium flavidum. RNAcentral's name for it is "tRNA-Glu". It matches the Rfam family "tRNA". Rfam says of the family: Transfer RNA (tRNA) molecules are approximately 80 nucleotides in length. The record is from RNAcentral. Lineage: Bacteria; Thermotogati; Synergistota; Synergistia; Synergistales; Acetomicrobiaceae. RNAcentral also lists the same sequence under 6 other names.